AAGGAACGUUGAAGACGACGACGUUGAUAGGUCGGGUGUGUAAGCGCAGCGAUGCGUUGAGCUAACCGAUACUAAUGAACCGUGAGGCUUAACCUU
RNAcentral lists this ribosomal RNA (96 nucleotides) under Enterobacter cloacae. RNAcentral's name for it is "partial 23S ribosomal RNA". It matches the Rfam family "Bacterial large subunit ribosomal RNA", at positions 2830 to 2925 of the family's 2925-position model. RNAcentral also lists the same sequence under 6 other names. The record is from RNAcentral. Lineage: Bacteria; Pseudomonadati; Pseudomonadota; Gammaproteobacteria; Enterobacterales; Enterobacteriaceae.